CUGUUAUCACACAAGACAUGAAAAAAAAUCAGAACACAAGCACACAUAAAGACAUCAGGCAAAAAGUACUCAAAAUACAUAAAAACCAGCUAACAGAAGAAAUAUAGUCCACACAUUCCAAUUGCGUCUAAAUACUCCCUCCAAACUCAGCAGACUAUCCAAAAGAGGUAGAUAAAUUUUGAUUUUAAUCGGCUUCAUCAACGACCUUUGUUCCCAGGCCUUUAAGACCCUCUGCGGGGAUCUCAGCGACCGUCACCAAAGAGUAGAGCUCUUCCUUAGCAUCCUCCUCCUCAUUCCUCUUGCGGGCAAUCCUCACACGGACGCGCUUUGGCACAUUUCGAAUUCCCCUGCUCCAGAUCUGCUUGUUCAGCUUCACAUCAAUCCUCACAUCAUUAGUCCCCAUUGCCUUCUGUGCGAACUUCUUCAGUUCUUUUAUAGCUUUAGGAGCCAUCUUCUUGAACGUGCAUCCAUGGAGGCGUUUGUGGAGGUUUACGGUGUACUCCCUGGUGACCACCUCCUCCUUCCUCCCCUUGCUACCCUUCUCCACCAUCGUUGCGGGCGGCAGCGGCAGCGGCGGCG
This 579-nucleotide unclassified non-coding RNA is filed under the name Hevea brasiliensis (rubber tree). The record is from RNAcentral. Lineage: Eukaryota; Viridiplantae; Streptophyta; Magnoliopsida; Malpighiales; Euphorbiaceae.